This 2673-nucleotide long non-coding RNA is filed under the name Populus trichocarpa (black cottonwood). RNAcentral's name for it is "long non-coding RNA (PTRI_LNC002306)". Lineage: Eukaryota; Viridiplantae; Streptophyta; Magnoliopsida; Malpighiales; Salicaceae. The record is from RNAcentral.
AAAAGAAAAUGCGUUGUGUAAUGUUACAUGCGUACAGCUAAUAGAAUUCGUGUUUUCAGAUGACAGCACAAGAUGUUUCUGCGAUGAUGCAAUCGGACAAAAAAGCAUCAUCUUCCAAAUAUACAAUGGUGGAUACACCAUAGAAGUUGAAAUCCAUGGCAGGCCUUACAAUGUAAUCAAGAACUGUAACUACACAGGUUUAGUUGAUGCUCUCCAUAAUGGACAUGGAAAAUGCUGUACAAAAAGGUCAGAGUGUUCAAUUCCUAACUGUGGGAUUGAUUAGUGAAAUUGAGAGCAGUAGAUUCAUUAACCACCUUCUUCUUCUUCUUCUUCUUCUUCUUCUUCUUUAAGGAUUACCUGUAUGGUUUUUAAGGGAAAAAAACAAAUAAAAUUAGCGCAAGAAUAGUUUUUAAGGGAAAAAAAAAUUGAGAGAGACAGAGACUUGUGAAUGUUUCUUUUUUGUUUUUGCCUAGCCACCCACCGAUUUGGAAGGUGAUAUUUUACCUUCUCACACGUGAAGUAAAAAACUAUACAAACUACUAUUUGCAAGGCAAUCAUGCUUACUUAAGCCAGCCAUUAAUGGAGGAGACUUUUAUAGGAGAACAAUGACAGAAAGCACCAAUAAUACAGUAGAUAAAUACAAGACACAGAACUUCCUUUGGUCUUCGGGCAUCAAUAUAGUUCACAAAUGAAUUGCCCAUCAAGAUCUUGUGGCUCAAAUCAUGCUAUUAUAAACAGGACACAUUUUGCCCACACCAUCCUUCCAACGCUUCUCAAGUCAUCAGCAAGUAAUAGGGAAUUCGAUUUACGAACCAAUGAUGGCUAUGGGGCCUCCUAAAAAAAAAGAAAAAGAAAAAGAAAAGCUGACUUGAAGAAAAUCAAAGCAACACCAAGCUCCUGCAGCUCCUGGUCGGACUACUUUUUCUCUUAACGUUGAGGCAGAAGUACAUUAUAGUGAUUGCGCUUAGAUGUUCCUUUCUAUUACUGUAGAAUUGUCUUACAAAGAUUUUUAUCAGGAUCCCUCAUAAACCCGGUACAUCUUCUCCGGUCUCUACCAAAAUGGUGAUAUUCUAACAUUCUCCAUCUCUUCAACUACCACAGGAAAUAAAACUUCACCAUCAGAGAUAUUCUUUACUUUUAACUCGUAUAAUCGCUAAUUUAACCCUUGUAACAUUUUACAAUCAACGCCUCUGAGAGGGCAAGCUACUUCAGGAAUAAAACCUGUAGACAUACUGUAUCAUGACAUAGAACCAAGGCCUACGAAAGGGCAGGCUACUUCAAGAACAAAACCUGAAGCAUAGCUGCCAUCCAUUUUCCUUUAAAAGUAAGGGGAAAAAAAACAAAGUAAAAGACGAAAAACUUAUUCUGGUAGGCUGUAUUUAUCAUUGCCUUUUCUUUUCUUUAAUGAACUACUGUCGGCAUCUUUACUGUGCUUCAUUUCCCAGCUCUUUUUUACUUUCCACGUUGCUUAACAAGCAAAGAAUAACAAACGCAAUGCAGUGCGAUCAAGACCUCUAGAAAAGUUCAUGGAGAUCAACACGAGAAGAAUUCAGAAUUGAAACCUGGUUUGACCUGAUAGUUCCACCAUCCCACUCUGGGGCUUACACAUGUACAAUGGAGAGUAGAAAAGGAAGUUCACACAUGGGCAGUUGGGAGUUUGCAAUCAGUCAUAUCUCAAUUGCUGCUUCGUGCUAUGCCUCACAGCACAACGUGCAAGAUAUGCAAGUGAUGUUAUAACUUGGAUUGAUGAAGCCUAACAGCUUAUGCCACAGCAAGAAAAUGGAAUUCUAUCAGGAUGUCAAGGGUAAAUGAACUUCAUAUACAAUCAAUAAUGCGAAAUAAAAUAGAGGAAAGAGUUAAAUUUGACCUGAGAAUUUAAUGUUGCACCUAACAUAACUUCCUAGGGACAACUAUAGCCAGCAAAUCAAAGAAAACUCCUCACCUACACUGCAAAUUGCAAAAGAGGGAAGUAUAACAAAUCACAAUUUCUGGUUCACAAAAAGUCAGAAAUACCCUGCCCAGGAUACCAUGUUCGGCAUGCCUGGAGUGCCAUUUCUAAGCAUACUAAGGGGUAUUCUAUUGAGCAUCACUCUUCAGGCUUAGGUGAGAAUACCUUGCUUCAAAAGUAAGAUCAUUAAAUAAAAGGGGAAGGAUCUAGCUAUUGAAUGCGACUCCAAUCUUCUUCUGUUAUUAUUUUGAUGAAAGCAGAACGAGAGAGUAAAAUGCGGAAAGAAGAGGAUGAAUCAUUGAUCAUCUACCUCAAGAAAGAAGUCGAAGCUGCUCUGCUAAGGACUGAUUCUCUGGAGAAAGAAAAUCAGGAAUUACAACAGGAAGUAGUUCGUCUAAAAGCACAGAUAAGUUCACUCAAAGCACACGACAAUGAGAGAAAAUCCAUGCUUUGGAAGAAGUUACAGAACCCCAUUGACAGCAGCAAAACUGAUGUAUUUCUGCAGAAACAAUCAGAUUUUGUCAAAGUGAGUGAGGAACAUUCAAGUCCAAGACCGAGCAUACAGGAAUUACCAUCAAGAAAAGAGAAACUGGCAAAAGUACCAAAUCCACCACCAAGGCCUACUUCUGUAGCCCCUUCAUCACCCAAGGAAGUGAACAGCAAUAAAUUGUCACCAGCACCAGCACCAGCACCACCACCUCCACCUCCGCCACCGAAGAUGUCUG